Non-coding RNA from Micropterus salmoides (largemouth bass), 1194 nucleotides. The record is from the annotation of a RefSeq genome assembly. Lineage: Eukaryota; Metazoa; Chordata; Actinopteri; Centrarchiformes; Centrarchidae.
AUCUUAUUGUUUUUAAAUUAACAAGGCAAAUAGAGAGUAACAGAGUAAAAUAAGUGAAGCCACACCUUCCAUUUCAUUUCCUCAAUGUACAGAGAAUCCACUAACAGCAAAGGCUAUCCUCCAGCCUUACAGAAGCUAACAUGUUCUCAUUCCUGCCACCAGGAGUCGCCAAGACGCAUUCUCAUCAUUACUUAACCUAAAUGCUGUAAGGUGUUGGAGGUCAAGAUCAAUGCUUGAAACAGUAUUUGAUCGAUCCUGUAGGGUCUAAAUAAUCAUAAUCUGUUAAACACAUCGGUGCAGAUAUUCAGUCAAAGUUUUAUUUAUAUCUGACACAUUGUUUGUUUGGUAGCUUACCAAUAAAUCUAUUUUGCAUUACAGUGUGUAGAUUUGAACACUCAAUGCAGAGCCACACGUCACAGAAACAUUAUUCUUUACUCAGCGGGAGAGCUCCUCCCACCAAACUGCAUUUACUCACCUUUGCCAACUACUUUACAGUGACAGCGUUUCUUCAUCACUUCCCUUUCCUUUUUAAACCUCAGUUAUUUCGGUAUAGUCCUUAGUUGAUCCUUAUCAUGAAUAGUGACAAUAAGUGUGAUCUGAUGUCAGAUUCCAGAAAUUGACAUCCACAACUUUGUCACAAAGUUUUGUCAUCUAAAGACUUACAAAUGUUGACAAAAGACAAAAUGAUCUGCCUUGUAGUUUUCUGCUGCCUGUCAGGUGUUUGUCUGGGUCUUGAGGUCCGGCAGUCUGCCUCUGAUCUCAUCACAAAGCCUGGUGACAAAGUGCAGAUUUUCUGCAGCCAUGAUAAAACUGACUACAGGGUGAUGCUCUGGUACCAGCGAUCACCUGGAGACACGGCUAUGAAACUCAUUGGAUAUUUGUACUACCAAGCUGUCACAAUGGAAGAGCCAUAUAAAAAGGAUUUCAAUAUCACUGGAGAUUUGGGUGGAGAUGCAGCAAAGAACGGCUCACUUAUUUUGCAGCUCUCUGGAUUUGAAUACAGUGCUGUUUACUACUGUGCAGCCAGCUAUGCACGGUGUUUGUCUGGGUCUUGAGGUCCGCCAGUCUGCCUCUGAUCUGAUCAUAAAACCUGGUGACAAUGUGCAGAUUUUCUGCAGCCAUGAAAAAACUGACUACAGGAUGAUGCUCUGGUACCAGCAAUCAUCUGGAGACACAGCUAUGAAACUCAUUGGA